GAGGAUAUAGCUCAGUGGUAGAGUGCAUGCCUAGCAUAUAUAAGGUCCUAGGUUCAAUCCCUAGUACCUGCA
This 72-nucleotide transfer RNA is filed under the name Camelus bactrianus (Bactrian camel). It matches the Rfam family "tRNA". Rfam says of the family: Transfer RNA (tRNA) molecules are approximately 80 nucleotides in length. Their secondary structure includes four short double-helical elements and three loops (D, anti-codon, and T loops). Further hydrogen bonds mediate the characteristic L-shaped molecular structure. tRNAs have two regions of fundamental functional importance: the anti-codon, which is responsible for specific mRNA codon recognition, and the 3' end, to which the tRNAs corresponding amino acid is attached (by aminoacyl-tRNA synthetases). tRNAs cope with the degeneracy of the genetic code in two manners: having more than one tRNA (with a specific anti-codon) for a particular amino acid; and 'wobble' base-pairing, i.e. permitting non-standard base-pairing at the 3rd anti-codon position. The record is from Rfam by way of RNAcentral. Lineage: Eukaryota; Metazoa; Chordata; Mammalia; Artiodactyla; Camelidae. RNAcentral also lists the same sequence under 2 other names.